This 128-nucleotide non-coding RNA is filed under the name unclassified sequences. Its description in RNAcentral is "eL15-Euryarchaeota ribosomal protein leader". The stretch from base 46 to 128 matches the Rfam family "eL15-Euryarchaeota ribosomal protein leader". The record is from RNAcentral.
CCCGUGACCCACAGGGCAGCAGGCGACUCUCGCCACUCGUUGCUGCCCGUGGGAACGGGACGAAAUGUGGCCUGUCUGAGCCGGGCUCCACGGUGAACCCCCGACUCUCAAUCAGGCUGAAUCGCAAG